This 278-nucleotide ribosomal RNA is filed under the name uncultured bacterium. RNAcentral describes it as "partial 16S ribosomal RNA". It matches the Rfam family "Bacterial small subunit ribosomal RNA", at positions 900 to 1178 of the family's 1533-position model. The record is from RNAcentral.
CUUAAAUGAAUUGACGGGGGCCCGCACAAGCGGUGGAGCAUGUGGUUUAAUUCGAUGCAACGCGAAGAACCUUACCAGGUCUUGACAUCCAGAGAACUUUCCAGAGAUGGAUUGGUGCCUUCGGGAACUCUGAGACAGGUGCUGCAUGGCUGUCGUCAGCUCGUGUCGUGAGAUGUUGGGUUAAGUCCCGUAACGAGCGCAACCCUUGUCCUUAGUUGCCAGCGGUUCGGCCGGGCACUCUAGGGAGACUGCCGGUGACAAACCGGAGGAAGGUGGGG